Molecule: unclassified non-coding RNA, 390 nt
Filed under: Hevea brasiliensis (rubber tree)
Lineage: Eukaryota; Viridiplantae; Streptophyta; Magnoliopsida; Malpighiales; Euphorbiaceae
Source: RNAcentral
GGAAAAAUACCAUGGAAACUUCUAUAAAUAGGCUUACCUCUAACAUAGAUUAUAGUAAAAGGUGGUAUGCUUACUUUUUCCUCUAGAUAGUACAAAUGAUAUAUUUUGGUUAUAUCAUAAGAUGUGCCAUGGCUGCCAAAUAAUCAACUACUAUGUACUUGAUAAUAGAGACUUGUUGAUCCGACCAAAAAAUAUUGAACUUGACAAAAAUAUUUUUUCGAUUGCCCUGACCCAACUCGAUUAAGGCUUGCUUCCAAGGUGGAUUGAACUUGGGAUUUCACUUUUCGUUGGGGAUCAACCUGCUUGACUCCACCUUCCAAAGUACUACCUUUUUGAACAAAGGAUUCUUAUGCUGUAUAAAAUUUUCAUGUCGUAUAUGUUGGAGGUUUG